CCCUUUGUGACAUACCUAUAACUGUUGCUUCGGCGGGUAGGGUCUCCGCGACCCUCCCGGCCUCCCGCCUCCGGGCGGGUCGGCGCCCGCCGGAGGAUAACCAAACUCUGAUUUAACGACGUUUCUUCUGAGUGGUACAAGCAAAUAAUCAAAACUUUUAACAACGGAUCUCUUGGUUCUGGCAUCGAUGAAGAACGCAGCGAAAUGCGAUAAGUAAUGUGAAUUGCAGAAUUCAGUGAAUCAUCGAAUCUUUGAACGCACAUUGCGCCCGCCAGCAUUCUGGCGGGCAUGCCUGUUCGAGCGUCAUUUCAACCCUCAAGCUCUGCUUGGUGUUGGGGCCCUACAGCUGAUGUAGGCCCUCAAAGGUAGUGGCGGACCCUCCCGGAGCCUCCUUUGCGUAGUAACUUUACGUCUCGCACUGGGAUCCGGAGGGACUCUUGCCGUAAAACCCCCCAAUUUUCCAAAGGUUGACCUCGGAUCA
Molecule: ribosomal RNA, 481 nt
Filed under: Colletotrichum fructicola
Lineage: Eukaryota; Fungi; Ascomycota; Sordariomycetes; Glomerellales; Glomerellaceae
Description: eukaryotic LSU rRNA
Rfam family: 5.8S ribosomal RNA (bases 153-306)
Source: RNAcentral